UACGUAGGGGGCUAGCGUUGUCCGGAAUCAUUGGGCGUAAAGCGCGUGUAGGCGGCCCGGUAAGUCCGCUGUGAAAGUCGGGGGCUCAACCCUCGGAUGCCGGUGGAUACUGUCGGGCUCGAGUACGGAAGAGGCGAGUGGAAUUCCUGGUGUAGCGGUGAAAUGCGCAGAUAUCGGGAGGAACACCAGUGGCGAAGGCGACUACCUGGCCCAUUCUUGACGCUGAGGCGCGAAAGCUAGGGGAGUGAACGGG
This 253-nucleotide ribosomal RNA is filed under the name uncultured bacterium. RNAcentral describes it as "partial 16S ribosomal RNA". It matches the Rfam family "Bacterial small subunit ribosomal RNA", at positions 524 to 776 of the family's 1533-position model. The record is from RNAcentral.